CUAGCAACGUGUUUCAUUCACGCGUUUACCCUACUACACCCCGCUAGCACUAUCCACUGUAGGUUUAACACAGAACUUAAAAUGCAGAGACACGAUUGUUAUGGGUCAAGACAACUCCGUGUACGCUGGAGGUUUAAUACAUAACUUCCAUUGCAGAAAAGUCAUUAUUAUAAUUCAAAAGGACUUCGCGUCCACUGGAGCAAAACCCUGAACGAAGACCUUGCUGACAACACUGGCCUCCAGACAGCUUUCAAAGCAUAUACCACAGUACUUGAAGAAGAAUGUGCAGGAGAAGACACUCAUCUAACAGGACUAGAAAAAUUCAGCGGAAUGCAGCUGUUCUUCAUUUCGCGUGCUAUGACUUUGUGCAAAACAGCAGACAAGUAUUCGCUCAUCAAAGAGAUAAGGAAGGUACAAUUCAGCUCUCCGCGAAACAGGGUGAACGUGCCCUUGAAAAAUUUGGACGAAUUUGGUAAGGAGUUCAACUGUUCACUUGGCUCCCCAAUGCACCCGUACAAAAAUGAAACCUGCUCUUUAUGGUGAAGGGGAAUUGGACAACAACAGCAUGAACAGCCUGAUGUUAAGAGCUCAAAACGUAGACGGGAUACGAGACAAG
Molecule: long non-coding RNA, 616 nt
Filed under: Dermacentor andersoni
Lineage: Eukaryota; Metazoa; Arthropoda; Arachnida; Ixodida; Ixodidae
Description: uncharacterized LOC126531200
Source: RNAcentral